UACAGAGGUCUCAAGCGUUGUUCGGAUUUAUUGGGCGUAAAGGGUGCGUAGGCGGCAGGGAUAGUUGGAUGUGAAACGCUGCGGCUCAACCGCGGCACUGCAUUCAAUACUGCCUUGCUAGAGCGCUAGCGAGGAGACCGGAAUUUACGGUGUAGCAGUGAAAUGCGUAGAUAUCGUAAGGAACACCAGUGGCGAAGGCGGGUCUCUAGAUAGCAUGCUGACGCUGAGGCACGAAAGCCAGGGGAGCAAACGGG
RNAcentral lists this ribosomal RNA (254 nucleotides) under uncultured bacterium. RNAcentral describes it as "partial 16S ribosomal RNA". It matches the Rfam family "Bacterial small subunit ribosomal RNA", at positions 524 to 776 of the family's 1533-position model. The record is from RNAcentral.